Molecule: ribosomal RNA, 780 nt
Filed under: Triticum aestivum (bread wheat)
Lineage: Eukaryota; Viridiplantae; Streptophyta; Magnoliopsida; Poales; Poaceae
Description: partial small subunit ribosomal RNA
Source: RNAcentral
CGCCCUCCUCGAGGUUGAGCACCUUGACCACGCCGUCGUCGGCCAGCAGCGCGUAGCGGCGCGACCGGACGCCGAGCCCCACCGGCUUGUCCGACAGGUCCAGCUCCACGCCCAUGGCGCGCGUCAGCUCCCCGUUUCCGUCCGACAGGAGCAGCACCUCGUCGCCGACGCCGAGGCUCUCCUUCCACGCGCGCAUCACGAACGCGUCGUUGACGGAGACGCAGGCCACGGUGUCCACCCCCUUGGCGCGCAGCUCCCCGGCCCUGGCCACGAACCCCGGGAGGUGCUUCUGGGUGCAGGUGGGCGUGAAGGCGCCCGGGACCGCGAACAGGACCACCUUCUUGCCCGCGGUGAGGUCGCGGACCGUCACCGUCUUCAGCUCGCCGUCGGGGGCGUCGAAGUAGGAGAGCGUCGCUUCGGGGAGCCGGUCGCCGACCGCGAUGGCCGUUGUGGCGGCCGGGGACGCGGUCGCGGAGAGGGCCCGCGUCGCCGCGCGGGGCAGGGGCCCGGCGCGGAGGGACCCCGCGGGCGCGAGACGGCGGGAGGCGAAGGAGAGGGAGGAGGAGGGGCCGCGCGAGAGGAGGGCGCGCCUGGCCCCCGCGGCGGCGGCGGUGGCCGAGAGGGUGGCGAGGGCGGAGGUGGCCAUGGAGGGAGGCUAGGUGUUCGAGGAAAUGCGCUGUCUGUUGUUUGACUUCGGGGCGAGCGAGCCUAGGGUGGGGGAUUUGGGGAGCGAUCCCGACUCCGAGCGGCGGGAGCUGGCCCUAUGUGGGGGGAAUGGGG